Molecule: long non-coding RNA, 929 nt
Organism: Mercurialis annua (annual mercury)
Lineage: Eukaryota; Viridiplantae; Streptophyta; Magnoliopsida; Malpighiales; Euphorbiaceae
Exons: 6
Source: RefSeq, a predicted model, not a curated record
UUUUGAUUUUUGAUUUCUUCUCAACUGCAGCAAAUCCUCAUCUCAUUUUAUUACCUGAUUUCUAAUUUCACUGUGAAUUUUUGAUUGAAUUUUGGGAGAGAAUGAGAGUUUGAUGCAAAUUGUUGAUUAAUUUCCCUAACAUGCUCAUUGAUUUUCGUUUUACUUUUCUGUUUGUUAUUUUAAUAUCUGUCAUUUUCCACCGCAGACAACACUUCUCAUUGUGACUAUUCACUUACGUCUUCUGGCUGCAAUCAUCCUUACAAUUUGGAUUGACACGUGCUGUAGCUACUGCAAAGGAAAUUCUAGGAUUGAUGAUUCAGACAAAUGCAAUGGUCAUUCUUCUAACUUGAUAUAUAUUCAGGGCAGCUAGCAAAGGUCCCAAUUUUGGCUUUCUAAGGUAAACUCUUAUGUGAAGGAUAAUGGAAUUAAAGUGAGCUCAAAUGUUGUUUUGCUUGCAUAUGAUCACCUUCGCUUGUUUGCAGUCAAAGGAACUGAUGCUGAAAAGACCAACUCUAGCGGGGCUUUCAUAGAAAAUGGUGCACACUACAAGAAAACUAACAAUUCUCAUCUCAAAAUCCAGCAGCAGAAGCAAGAAGAUUUCGACCGAAACCUCAGGAACGAAUUCAGGUCAGAGGAGUUCAAGUUCAUUUUAUAACUAGACUGAUCAGACAAACAUCAGCCAUAGAAUAGCUAUGAGAAGCUGUACAUGGAGGAGGCAAUGCAUAAAUUUGAUGAGCAACUAAUAGAUGUCAAAGUAGAGGAACUUACAGAAGCGACGACAACUUCUAAUCCACAAACGAAGAAGCCAAUCAAGCUAAGUAAAAUAUCAGCUGAGCAAAAUUUGAAUGUAUUUCUUUUGUAGACAAUGAUAAUAGUCCCUUUUUAUAUGAAUAUAAUCCCUUUUAUGAAAGAAAUUCAGAUUCAAAUUA